GUCCACGCCCUAAACGAUGUCAACUGGUUGUUGGACGGCUUGCUGUUCAGUAACGAAGCUAACGCGUGAAGUUGACCGCCUGGGGAGUACGGCCGCAAGGUUGAAACUCAAAGGAAUUGACGGGGACCCGUACAAGCGGUGGAUGAUGUGGUUUAAUUCGAUGCAACGCGAAAAACCUUACCUACCCUUGACAUGUCAAGAAUUCUGCAGAGAUGUGGAAGUGCUCGAAAGAGAACUUGAACACAGGUGCUGCAUGGCCGUCGU
This 264-nucleotide ribosomal RNA is filed under the name uncultured bacterium. RNAcentral describes it as "partial 16S ribosomal RNA". It matches the Rfam family "Bacterial small subunit ribosomal RNA", at positions 793 to 1055 of the family's 1533-position model. The record is from RNAcentral.